CCUACGGGAGGCAGCAGUGGGGGAUAUUGCACAAUGGGGGGAACCCUGAUGCGGCGACGCCGCGUGGGUGAAGAAGCGCCUCGGCGCGUAAAGCCCUGUCAGCAGGGAAGAAAAUGACGGUACCUGAAGAAGAAGCCCCGGCUAACUACGUGCCAGCAGCCGCGGUAAUACGUAGGGGGCAAGCGUUAUCCGGAUUUACUGGGUGGAAAGGGGGCGCAGACGGCGAUGCAAGCCAGGAGUGAAAGCCCGGGGCCCAACCCCGGGACUGCUCUUGGAACUGCGUGGCUGGAGUGCAGGAGGGGCAGGCGGAAUUCCUGGUGUAGCGGUGAAAUGCGUAGAUAUCAGGAGGAACACCGGUGGCGAAGGCGGCCUGCUGGACUGCAACUGACGUUGAGGCCCGAAAGCGUGGGGAGCAAACAGGAUUAGAUACCCCAGUAGUC
Molecule: ribosomal RNA, 440 nt
Filed under: uncultured bacterium
Lineage: Bacteria
Description: partial 16S ribosomal RNA
Rfam family: Bacterial small subunit ribosomal RNA
Source: RNAcentral